RNAcentral lists this ribosomal RNA (467 nucleotides) under uncultured Oomycota. RNAcentral describes it as "LSU rRNA". The stretch from base 1 to 83 matches the Rfam family "Bacterial large subunit ribosomal RNA", at positions 476 to 559 of the family's 2925-position model. The record is from RNAcentral. Lineage: Eukaryota; Oomycota.
GUGCGAGACCGAUAGCGAACAAGUACCGUGAGGGAAAGAUGAAAAGAACUUUGAAAAGAGAGUUAAAGAGUACCUGAAACUGCUGAAAGGGAAGCGAAUCGUAUCCAGUGUCUAUAAUCUGCGGCAUAUUUCAUUGGCGGCGGUGCGCGUGCUUUUGCGUCGGAAGCGGCUUUUGUUGCUCUGUGCUUUUGCUGUGCGUGUUGUUGCUGGUGCCCUGUGUUGCGGUGGGACGUCAGAGUCAGUUUGUAUGCUGCGGGAAAUGGCUGCCGAGGAGGUAGGUCGAGAUUUCGGUCUUGGCUGUUAUAUCUUGGUGGUUUGUUGUCGUGGUUGAGACUGAGGUGCCUACAAUGUGCUUUUGAGUGUACCGGGUUCUCAUUUGGUGGACUGUUUGGAUAGCUUGCUAUGCUUGUGGUUUUUUCAUCGGGUGAUUGAGUCUGGUGGUAACUUGUUGCUGUUCGGGACUUUGA